AGCAGUCGCCGCGGUAAUACGGAGGAUCCGAGCGUUAUCCGGAUUUAUUGGGUUUAAAGGGUGCGUAGGCGGCCUAUUAAGUCAGGGGUGAAAGACGGUAGCUUAACUAUCGCAGUGCCUUUGAUACUGAUGGGCUUGAAUGUACUUGAAGUGGGCGGAAUGUGACAAGUAGCGGUGAAAUGCAUAGAUAUGUCACAGAACACCGAUUGCGAAGGCAGCUCACUAAAGUAUGAUUGACGCUGAGGCACGAAAGCGUGGGGAUCAAACAGGAUUAGAUACCCCGGUAGUCCCUGUCUCUUAUAC
Molecule: ribosomal RNA, 303 nt
Filed under: uncultured bacterium
Lineage: Bacteria
Description: partial 16S ribosomal RNA
Rfam family: Bacterial small subunit ribosomal RNA
Source: RNAcentral